UCAGCGUCUCCCCUUUGAUAACUUUAACUAAUGUUUUAUUUCGUUGUGUUAUUCAUACACCGCCAAUAGAGAGCGACAUUUAGCUUGUUAUCAGCCAUUAGCUUGUUGUUAGUUACCAUGCUCUCAGCCAACAUCCCAGCAGCAUACCGUUGAAACUUUAAAUCUCCUAAAGACUGGAUGCUGUACCUCAUGGCUGCUUGUUGCAUGUAACCAGAUUUGCAUUGAGAUAUCCACUGAAGGCAUGAAAACAUCUGCUGUCAUUUUACACCACAUAGUAAUCCUACAAUGCAGUGGCCACAGUGAGGAGCUCUGUCUGCCAGCCCUGGUCUCUGCUUCGGCUCUGCUCCCACACCGGGAAAUUCAUCCUCUGGUCUCUCCUCUGUCUGGGCACCUAUGUAGACCUCUCCAUCAUAGUCAAAAGGCUGCUGACGGAUCCUAGGGGGUGGCGUUGGGACUGGUUCAGGGAUAAUGUUUUUGAUGUCCUCGUCCAGCUUACCUCCCAG
Long non-coding RNA from Lates calcarifer (barramundi perch), 503 nucleotides. RefSeq lists it as uncharacterized. The transcript has 3 exons. The record is from RefSeq and is a predicted model, not a curated record. NCBI's taxonomy places the organism in Eukaryota, Metazoa, Chordata, Actinopteri, Centropomidae.